RNAcentral lists this ribosomal RNA (855 nucleotides) under 'Cocos nucifera' X-disease phytoplasma. RNAcentral describes it as "partial 16S ribosomal RNA". It matches the Rfam family "Bacterial small subunit ribosomal RNA", at positions 412 to 1280 of the family's 1533-position model. The record is from RNAcentral. Lineage: Bacteria; Bacillati; Mycoplasmatota; Mollicutes; Acholeplasmatales; Acholeplasmataceae.
AGUACCUCGGUAUGUAAAGUUCUUUUAUUAAGGAAGAAAAAAGAGUGGAAAAACUCCCUUGACGGUACUUAAUGAAUAAGCCCCGGCUAAUUAUGUGCCAGCAGCCGCGGUAAUACAUAAGGGGCGAGCGUUAUCCGGAAUUAUUGGGCGUAAAGGGUGCGUAGGCGGUUUAAUAAGUCUAUAGUUUAAUUUCAGUGCUUAACGCUGUUGUGCUAUAGAAACUGUUUUACUAGAGUGAGAUAGAGGCAAGCGGAAUUCCAUGUGUAGCGGUAAAAUGCGUAAAUAUAUGGAGGAACACCAGAGGCGUAGGCGGCUUGCUGGGUCUUUACUGACGCUGAGGCACGAAAGCGUGGAGAGCAAACAGGAUUAGAUACCCUGGUAGUCCACGCCGUAAACGAUGAGUACUAAGUGUCGGGUAAAACUGGUACUGAAGUUAACACAUUAAGUACUCCGCCUGAGUAGUACGUACGCAAGUAUGAAACUUAAAGGAAUUGACGGGACUCCGCACAAGCGGUGGAUCAUGUUGUUUAAUUCGAAGAUACACGAAAAACCUUACCAGGUCUUGACAUUUUCUUGCGAAGUUAUAGAAAUAUAAUGGAGGUCAUCAGGAAAACAGGUGGUGCAUGGUUGUCGUCAGCUCGUGUCGUGAGAUGUUAGGUUAAGUCCUAAAACGAGCGCAACCCUUGUCGUUAGUUGCCAGCAUGUAAUGAUGGGGACUUUAACGAGACUGCCAAUGAAAAAUUGGAGGAAGAUGGGGAUUACGUCAAAUCAUCAUGCCCCUUAUGAUCUGGGCUACAAACGUGAUACAAUGGUGUCAAAAAAUAAUAAAAAAAAAAAAAAGGGUUAAAAAAUAAA